This 384-nucleotide unclassified non-coding RNA is filed under the name soil metagenome. RNAcentral's name for it is "partial contains 5.8S ribosomal RNA, internal transcribed spacer 2, and large subunit ribosomal RNA". The stretch from base 1 to 120 matches the Rfam family "5.8S ribosomal RNA", at positions 35 to 154 of the family's 154-position model. The record is from RNAcentral.
GAUGAAGAACGCAGCGAAAUGCGAUAAGUAAUGUGAAUUGCAGAAUUCAGUGAAUCAUCGAAUCUUUGAACGCACCUUGCGCUCCUUGGUAUUCCGAGGAGCAUGCCUGUUUGAGUGUCAUUAAAUUCUCAACCUCACCCGUUUUCUGAACGGGUCGAGGCUUGGAUGUGGGGGUUUGUGCAGGCUGCCUCACUGGCGGUCUGCUCCCCUGAAAUGCAUUAGCGAGGUUCAUGCUGAACUUCCGUCUAUUGGUGUGAUAAUUAUCUACGCCGUGGACGAGGAUCAGACUCGCUUCUAACUGUCCGCGAGGACAAUACCUUGACAAUUUGACCUCAAAUCAGGUAGGACUACCCGCUGAACUUAAGCAUAUCAAUAAGCGGAGGA